RNAcentral lists this ribosomal RNA (463 nucleotides) under [Candida] sp. Z9Y-2. RNAcentral's name for it is "eukaryotic LSU rRNA". It matches the Rfam family "Eukaryotic large subunit ribosomal RNA", at positions 92 to 657 of the family's 3401-position model. The record is from RNAcentral. Lineage: Eukaryota; Fungi; Ascomycota; Saccharomycetes; Saccharomycetales.
AGUGAGCGGCAACAGCUCAAAUUUGAAAGCCCGCGGGCGUUGUAAUUUGCAGGCGGAUGUUUUGGGGCGGGCGCUGUCUACGUUCCUUGGAACAGGACGCCGCAGAGGGUGAGAGCCCCGUGCGAUGGCGCCUCUAACCGCGUAAAACUCCGCCGACGAGUCGAGUUGUUUGGGAAUGCAGCUCCAAGUGGGUGGUAAAUUCCAUCUAAAGCUAAAUACUGGCGAGAGACCGAUAGCGAACAAGUACAGUGAUGGAAAGAUGAAAAGCACUUUGAAAAGAGAGUGAAACAGCACGUGAAAUUGUUGAAAGGGAAGGGUAUGCGAUUAGCGGCCAGCAGGAGGUGCCUUCUCGUGAAAAGGCCGUGCACCGUCUUCGGACACCGUGCGCGGAGAUGGCGAGGGGGCGCCUGAGGUCUGCGAACUCGAGGUUGCUGGCGUAAUGAUUGCAUACCACCCGUCUUGA